This 408-nucleotide ribosomal RNA is filed under the name uncultured rumen bacterium. RNAcentral describes it as "bacterial SSU rRNA". It matches the Rfam family "Bacterial small subunit ribosomal RNA", at positions 509 to 916 of the family's 1533-position model. The record is from RNAcentral.
CAGCAGCCGCGGUAAUACGUAGGUCCCGAGCGUUGUCCGGAUUUAUUGGGCGUAAAGCGAGCGCAGGCGGUUAGAUAAGUCUGAAGUUAAAGGCUGUGGCUUAACCAUAGUACGCUUUGGAAACUGUUUAACUUGAGUGCAAGAGGGGAGAGUGGAAUUCCAUGUGUAGCGGUGAAAUGCGUAGAUAUAUGGAGGAACACCGGUACCGAAAGCGGCUCUCUGGCUUGUAACUGACGCUGAGGCUCGAAAGCGUGGGGAGCAAACAGGAUUAGAUACCCUGGUAGUCCACGCCGUAAACGAUGAGUGCUAGGUGUUAGACCCUUUCCGGGGUUUAGUGCCGCAGCUAACGCAUUAAGCACUCCGCCUGGGGAGUACGACCGCAAGGUUGAAACUCAAAGAAAUUGACGG